RNAcentral lists this ribosomal RNA (499 nucleotides) under uncultured Desulfobulbus sp. RNAcentral's name for it is "bacterial SSU rRNA". It matches the Rfam family "Bacterial small subunit ribosomal RNA", at positions 888 to 1382 of the family's 1533-position model. The record is from RNAcentral. Lineage: Bacteria; Pseudomonadati; Thermodesulfobacteriota; Desulfobulbia; Desulfobulbales; Desulfobulbaceae.
CCCGCUCAGAAACUUAAAGGAAGUUGACGGGGCCCGGCACAAGCGGUGGAGUAUGUGGUUAAUUCGAUGCAACGCGAAGAACCUUACCUGGUCUUGACAUCCCGGAGACCCUUAGGAAACUAGGGGUGCUUCCAUCUGGAAGAAUCUGGAGACAGGUGCUGCAUGGCUGUCGUCAGCUCGUGUCGUGAGAUGUUGGGUUAAGUCCCGCAACGAGCGUAACCCUUGCCUUUAGUCGCCAGCAGUUCGGCUGGGCACUCUAAAGGGACUGCCGGUGUUAAACCGGAGGAAGGUGGGGAUGACGUCAAGUCCUCAUGGCCUUUAUGACCAGGGCUACACACGUACUACAAUGGCCGAUACAAAGGGCAGCGACACUGCGAGGUGAAGCCAAUCCCGUAAAAUCGGUCUCAGUCCGGAUUGGAGUCUGCAACUCGACUCCAUGAAGUUGGAAUCGCUAGUAAUCGUGGAUCAGCAUGCCACGGUGAAUACGUUCCCGGGCCUU